This 9271-nucleotide long non-coding RNA is filed under the name Gossypium barbadense (sea-island cotton). RNAcentral's name for it is "long non-coding RNA (GBAR_LNC012770)". Lineage: Eukaryota; Viridiplantae; Streptophyta; Magnoliopsida; Malvales; Malvaceae. The record is from RNAcentral.
UUCACCCUAAUACUCAGAGCCUUAAUUUUCCUAAGCAACGAGGCUAGCUCCUGCCCCCGAUCUAACUCUAACUCGUACUUCACGCUCAAUGUGUCCGCUUGCACCGCUAAAACUUCCAAGUAAUCGGCUACCUCCCGAAUCUGGGUUAUGGCUUCCGCCAUAAUGUAAUCCCUGUUUCUGACUUAGUCUUGCGCAUGGUGAAGUUGUUCCUUCCAACGUUCCUCACUUGCUUCAAAAAAUUGAAUCCGCAUCUCACAGCUUUGUAGUGACGCUUCUAAUUCUUCUACUUUUCCUUUCAUUUCUUCUACCUUGCUCAAGCUUGCCCUCAACUCUAUUACGGUAUUACGGCUUAAUUCACCUUGUUCAUUUCUGCUUUCUGACAGACUCUUCUCUAAAUCCCUAUUUCGUGCCUGAGCCUUUCGAAAUUUCCUUUCUCAUCGGUCGACUUUGGUCUGUUCCUCUCAGAUUUCAUGGCACCAUUGCUCUGAAGUUUUACCUAAUCUAGUAGUCCUCAUAGACAGGCAUAACUUCUUAUAAUCCGUCUUCAAACUGUCUAGAUCCUCUUUGGCCUUACAUUUCCUUCUUCUCCACUUUUCAGCCUCUAACCUCUGAAUGUCUACGUCUAAUCUCAGAUGCUUCUUUUCUUCCUCCAACUGUUCAAUCUUCUUCCCAAGCUCAAAACUCUUCUUCUCAAAAUCCUGUUUUAUAAUUUCCAACUCUGACGGGGCAACUUGUAAUUGUUCCUCCACAAGUCGAGAAUCUUCUACACUUGGUCUAGGAAUGUUUUCAUUGACCCUUUUUCUAAACCAUCCGUUGUAUUCAGGUGUCACCAUGGAAUUGACAGCCAACCUCUUCAUCCAUCGAGUUUGCUUCCAAGCAUCAGACAGUUCUCGAACCUUCUUCUUAUAGUGGUCACCUUUAAAGGAGAAUUCACACUGAGCAAGCCCGUAAGUCAUGGGUACAAACUGCCUCAAUUUAUAUUGCCUUAAUGCAAACAAUGGAGUAUACCCAGUAGCUUUCCAAAUUCCUAACAACGGUACCCAAUCAAAGUCCCCACAUCAAUACAGGAUUUCAUCAGGAACCAUCCAAUAAGCUCUCCACUCUAUGUCCCCCUCCUUGAGGUUUUGGAGGAUUUCCAUCCACUUCUCCUCUGAGAUACCUUCUCUUCUUUGUAUGACUGCCUCCUCCUAUAACGUGGAAUAACCUUCAGAAAAGACCUGAUAAAAAAUCUUGUCUACUUUCCAAAAAUGCCCAUGAAAUUACACCAUCAACAGCUGUGCACACCCAAUAAACCGUCCAUCGCCUGUCUUCCGACACAUCCUCAAGGAUUUGAACGUCUCAGCCAAUAUUGCAAGCACAGGUGUGAUUUCCUUCUCAAGACAGUCGAAUAAAUUAGUGACUGCCUCAUCGACGUGCCUUAAAGCCUUAGGAAAAAUUACCAAUCCAUAAAUGCUUAAGGCGAAGAUAUCGACCCUCUUUCUUUCAUCCGGAUGCGUUAAAACCAAAUCUCUCAAAUUCUCCCAAGAGAUACAUUUAUUAUCUCCCUUUUGUUGAAUCCGAGCAAUGACCCAAGGCUCGCUCAUCCCUGAAAUAUUCAUCAAUUUCUUCGCAAAAAUUUGACCAUUAAAAACCUUGGCAUAAGCUUUUCUAACUUGAAUUUUUGGACACCUGAGUAGGGUAGUAUAUUCCUCCAUGGUAGGCACUAAAUCCACUUCCCCAAAUGUGAAACACUUGUAAGCAGAAUUCCAAAAUUGAACCAUAACUCAGAACAGGUAUUUGUCCACCUUAACAUCCAGCAAAUAGGAUAUAUCACCAUAGCUUUGAUAGAACAAUUGUUUGGUUCUUUCAUCCCAAUGAGCCCAUAUAUCUCUUAACUCUUGCAACUCAUUCUGUGUUACAUUGACGCGAGUGAAUUCCUGCAACUCUGAUGUAUAUCCUUCUGCCAGGCUAUCUCCUUUCUCCGAUUGUAACUUCUCUGACCAUGCGCGGACGGCUGCAUUAUCCUCAACUUUAUUAAGAAAUUCAUUCUUCAUGUCAAACUUUCUAACUUAGUAAUCGAAUACGAAUCAAAACUGUAGUCAACCAAUUUUGCCCGAGUCUUUAUUUUAUUUAUACAUUCAAUAGCUAGUCAAAUAAACUUAAAUAAAGUCCCAAUAGUCCAUUUAUAACCUUAAAUAAACACUAACAAAUAGCCCAAACAUAUACAGAGGCCCAAAGGCCAAUAAGCCCAAUUUGCAAAAAGGCCCAAACUUGAAAGAACCCCAAAAGGGGAAUCUCAGCAGCUGAAAGCACUAGGGGUUUCUAGAACACACCAGUGCUGCAAUCACGGCUUUCACGAGCAAUUUUUUCCGUACGGCCGUUGCUCCAUCCCUGCAUUAGAAUACACGAGAAAAGGAUAGAAACAGAAUACGGUAGAUGACAACAAUAAAAUGUAUUUUUAUUUUAUUUUUAUUCUGAAAUUUUAGCUAUAAAAGCCGAUGAUUGUACCUACAAAAGGGAUUACGCUCAAUACACGCAUGCACAUUAGAUAUUCAAAAAUCUAGCCAAAAAUUUGAAAGGUGAAUUCCGGAUUUAUUCUUUAUUUUCUUUGAUUGAUUCGCAUAUUUAGUACGAGUAUUAAAAGGGGGAAAUCUAGACCGACGCCGAUGAAAAGCCCCAAACAUCUCAGAUAUACAUAGAUGUGGGCGAGGGUCGAGUGAGAUUAAAGUUUUGUUUGAAUAUAUGUGAAAUUUAUUUCGUUUUUAAAAAAAAAAACAGUAUAAGAUUCACGUUUUUUCGUGGGAAAAAAAAAAGAAAAAGGAGCGAAGUUACCUGAUUUUUGGAAAGGUGACCUUCGUUGGCUAUAUCUGGCCCUUAUCCGCGCCACUGGCCAUCAAACUGAUGGAGGUUAAGGGCUGCGUGAUGAAAUGAACCCACACAGAGCAAGAGUUCUAUUUUUGCGUCUGCUUUGAAAAGGAAUGAAUGAAAAUGGGCAUUUAAACAUCCAAAGCAAAACGGCGCCACACAGGGGGGGAAGGGUCCGCACGUUAACCCGCCUGGAGCCUCGAAUUUGUGCCUUUGCGCCUGGAAUGGAAUAUUUGUGUGGCAGGUCCCUCCUCCUUGUACCGCGUUGUAAUCUGCUCCUAUUUGCAUUUGAUUUGCUUUAUUUUCUUUUAGAUUAUCCCUAAAAUUUGAAGUACUUUUAUGUUUUAGUCCAUAUCUCAACGCAAUGUUUCAGGAUUAGGGAUUAUUUCAAUUUUGAUCCCUGUGAAUUCAUGUGUGUUAUAUAUAUGUCUCCAUUAGUAGUUUUACUUAUUUUGUAAAUUUUCUUUUUAUUUUACUUUGAUUUCGAUUAAGUAUUUUAUUAUAUUUAUGUUAUAAAUUUGGGUUUAUUCACUCAUAUAUUUUUAGUCCUUUUAUUAAUGUAUGUGUAUUCAUCCUUAUUUUAUUUACAUUUUUAUUUGUUAUUGUUUAUAUUAUUUGUAAUGUUAAUAUUAAUGGUAUUAUUUGUAUUGUUGGUCACUUAUUUGUUGUAAUUUGAAUAAUUGAAUUUCCCCAUGUUGUAUACUAUUUUAUGUAGUGUUUUAUGCGUUAUUAUGCAUGUAUAUACCUCAUAAUAAUUGCUUUUUAUUCCAUGAACAUUAUUAACAUUAAAAUUAACUAUUUUUUUUCACAUAUUAAUGUUAUUUAUAUUUGUUUUUUUUUUAAAUGAAAUCGCAUGUUAUAUACAUUAACUAAAUUUUAACUAUACAUAUACAAAAAUUAUUGAUUUAUAUAUAUAAUUUAAAUACAUUUUUAAACAUUAGUAUUUUUAUUUCUUUUAGAUUUGUUCACAUAUCUUUCUUAUUUAAAAAGAAAAUCCCACAUAUUUUGUGUAUUAUUUAAGUUAUUAUUAAACAUAUAUUUAGAAUUUAUAUUUAAUUUGUAUUCAUUAUUAAAGCCAAGAUAUUCUUAUACAUAUAUAUUUUUUUAAAUAAACUCAUAUAAUUGUGUUUUUAAAAUUAUUACGUAUAUAAGUUAUGUUUAAUUCUAUAAUUCAUAUUUUAAUUAAAUGAUAUUUUGAGAUAUAAUUAUUUUUAACAUUUUUUCACAUGUAUAUGGCAUAUAUUAAAUUAUUUUUACUAUGGUACAUGUUAUUAUUUUCAUAUAACUUUAUGUAAAUAUUUUUUUAUGUAUAUAUAUCCUCUUUAAAAAUUAUUUAUGUGUAUAAUGUUUUUUAAGAACCCCUUUAAAUCGUAUAAUUUAUUGUAUUUCAUAUUAUCCUUAUGUUUUUUCAUAUAUAUAUUUUGUUACUUAUAUAACUUAUAUAUUUACUUCAUUUUUUUAUACAUUAUUAAUUCCAUUCUUUUUAUCAAUAAUUAUACCCAAUGUUUAUUUGUAUAUAAAAGUUUCAUAAAUCUAUUUUGUACAUUAUUUUAUAUUAUGAAUUGUUAUUCCUUCAUAUUUAAUACAUUUUUUAAGUUAUCUUGUGAAUUAUCAAUUUUUGAAUAAAUUUGUGUUUUAAAUAUUUUGUAUAUAAUUUGAUUUGAAUUUUGAGAUUUAUAAUAACUAUUUCAAUAAACAUAUAUCCCAAGUUUUACGCAAAUGUGUCAACUUAUAUAUAUUAUAUGAUCAUUAAUUCUUCAUUUUGUUUCAUACAUAUUUUUAUACAUCAUUUUAUUUUGUGUUAUGAUCAUGUAUAUUAUUUUUAUAUUAAUUGUUCAUUAUCCAUGCUUAAAGAACUUUUUUACAUUAUACCUGGAAUAAUUGUUAGAUGUAUUGAGCAAGGUUUAUUGUAUUUUGGGUGUAUUAUUUCAUAUUUAUUAUUUUUUACAAUGCAUUAAAUACUUCAUCAAUUUUAAAAUGAAUAAACAUGUUUUUAAGCAAAUUUCUAAAUUUCAGUUAUUUUAAAUUUCUGAAAUAAGGCAAUAUCUAAUAUUUGGGGAAUUAAGAAAAAUCGUGCUCAAUCGUACUGGGUAUGACUUUUCCGGUGAACCAAAUAUUUAGAUAACCUUUUAUACUUUUAAUGUAUGAGUUUUUUUUCAAAAUUCGAACAUCGAUCGUAUCUUAAAGGUAUAAGGGAUCGUAUCCAAUCGUACUGGGUAUGAAACCGCAUAUCUUUAGAACGAGAGAUUUUUAACAGCUAAUUUGAGCUAUUCAAACAUUUUUUUUAUAUACUUCAUAAAAUAUUUUUUUAAAAACUUUUGAUAGAAGGACAGCAUCAAAUCAAUUUGGUACCAGUUUUUGGGCGUAAUGAGGGUGCUAACCCUUCCUCAUGCGUAACCGACUCCCGAACCCGUUUUUCUUUAUUUUGCCUAAAUCAAAUUUAUUUUUUAUUGAAUAAAAUGUUUUAGUAGGAGAUCCAAUCACACCUAAAGAGAUUGGUGGCGACUCUACACUCGGUUUUUAAUGUCGAUCCCUAUUGUUUUCCAAAUAAAAAAAAGGGUUUCGACAAACACCUCUUUUAGUAUGCAAUGCUAUGCAAAACAUAAUCAAAACAAAACACAAGUUUGUAUCAAAUAUAAGUGAUAAAAUACAAGCACAACAAAGAUAAUUAUAACACACAUAUGGGAAAAUACUAAGGCUCGAUGCGGUUUUACCCAAGGAUAGCUCUUAAGGUUCACUAUAUGUGGUUCGGUUCUAGAGAUAAAGUACCUGAACCAGCAGAUUCCUCAAUCCUCACCCAUUAUAGGCUCAUAUGGAUCAAGUUCGAUCCAGGGGAAUACAUUUUCCUAUGACCACGCGGAGAUGAAAAUCUCAAGAAAUCAUAGGUACAGAUGUAUCCCGGAAGCAAUCCACUAGCCCAUGCGGAGGUGAAAACCUCACGAAAGCAUAGUUUCUUACUCCCGAUUAGAAAGUGUGACCACAGCGAUCAUGCAAUGCAAUGUAAUAUUAUUCUACAAGACCCGAACCAUGAAAAUCAUACAAACAAAUGCAAUCAUGAUUUUCAAAACAAAUUUUCAAUUUCUUUGACAAAAUGACAACGAAUAAUCAAUUUUAUGGCUUGACUCUCUUGUAUCGAUCCCCAGUGGAGUCGCCAAGCUGUCGAAACUAUUUUUUUUAUUUAAAAAAACGGGGAUUGACUUUUUGAAAACAAACUGUGGAGUCGCCACCAAUAUUUUAUUUAGGUGUGAUCGGGUCACCUAAUAAAACACUUUGUUUUGUUAAAAUUGAUUUUGGCCUCCGUAAAUUUGAGAAAAAGGGUUCGGGAGUCGGUUACGUAUGAGGAAGGAUUAGCACCCUCACUACGCCCAAAAUUGGUACCAAAUUGAUUAAGUAUUGUCCUUAUGUCUAAGAUUUAAAACUAUUUUUGAAAUAUGGUUCCUUUUAAAACAUAUGAAUGGCUUAAGUUGGUCGUCAAAAUUCUCUUGUUUCGAAUGUAUACAGCAUCAUAUCCAGCACGAUAGGACACAAUCCUCCAUACUCUUAAAAACACGAUAAAUUUUUGACUUCCAAAAAUUUAUAUGUUGAAAAUUACAAAAAAGGAUGCCCAAUUAUUUAGUCCAACGAAAAACCGAAACCCAACACGGUAAGGCACGAUUCCUCGAAUUUCCAAACAUUGACCAUUGCCUUGUUUUAGAAUCUUAAAAAAACGAGUGAAAUUCUAAAGGAGUAUUCGAUUAUUUUGAACAAAUAGGAAAUUGCAACCCAGCAUGAUAGGGCACGAUUCCCCGAAUUGCCAAAUAUCGAACAUUUCUUUCAUUUUAAAGAAUUUUUUAAAUGAAUAAUUAUAAAACUAGCUUAAAACGCAUUAAUUCGGCUUGAAAUAGGAAUGGAAUAAUUAGUUUUAAAAAGUUAGACAUUAUAAGGCGACAUUUGUAAACCAAGAGGAAAAAAAUUGAAAACAUAGGGUAACAUGUAUGCAUAAAAUACGACAAUGGAUGAAUGAAGAUAAUAUGUCUUAUUUAAUCAACUAACAAAACAAUUAAAUAUGAUUAAUCUAAAAAUAUAACCCAAAUUUCAAGCAUGUACGGAGAAUAAUUAAUAUAACAAUACAAAACAAUGAAUAAAUAAUAUGCAACGACGAUGUAUGGCACCAUAUAAAUCAAUCAACAAAACAUGUACAAAACAAAAUGGAAUUUAGAAGUCAAUGUGGUAUAAGAAAUUUUCCAAAAUAAUGAUGAAUUAAUUAACGCAUAAUAUAAAAGUUGACAAAUUUGCAUAAAAACUAGGGAUAUAUAAUUAUUGAAAUAGAUAUUAUAGAAUAAAAGUUUGAAUCAAAUUAUAUGCAAAAUAUUUUAAACACAAGUUCAUUCAAAAAUUGACAAUGUACAUGAUAACUUAAAUAAUAUAUAAGAUAUGAAAGAAUAAUAAAAAUACACGAUAAGAUAUAAUACACAUAAUAGAUUUACAAAACAUGCAUAUAUAAAUAACUUUAAAAAUAAUUAUUUGCAAAAACAUGGAAAUACAUACAAGAUUAAAUUAAUUUGGUCAUACGUGUUCGAAUACAUAUAAAAACAUUUAAAUCAGAUACUACAUAAUAUACUAAAAUAAUAUUAUAUAAAGAAGAAUUUCCAAAUAAUAAUUUUAUAAACACAAAAAUGGAAUUCCCGAGUAACUUUACAUAUAUAAUUAAAUGAAUUUUAAAACAAUAGAUAUUUUAAAUAGAAAACCCGAUUACAAUAACAUAUGUGUUAAUAUAUAUAAAAAUAUUUAAAUAAAGAAAUUACAUAGAAAGCGUUAAAAUAGUUUAAAUGAAAAAAUUUAAAACGAUGAUUUUAUAAAACAAAAUAAAACUAUUAAGAUGGCACAACACAUAUGCAAAGACGUGGUGAACUUCGAAAUAAUAAGCAUUACUAAUCAAUGAGCAUAAUAAAUGUACAAAUUUGUAUAAAAUAUUUAAAGAAGUAUUGUGUAAAAUGUAGAAAUAACAUGAUAAAAAAAAACUUCAAAAUAAUUGUACAAAUAAAAAUGGACAAAAUCAUUAAAAUGGAUUGACACAUAUGAAAAUAUUAAAUGUGUUUUAAAUUAGUAAGUUAAAAAAAAACUAAAUUAAAAUGGAGUUAAAAUAAGAGGGACAAUUUAAAAAUAAAAUAAACUACUAGGAUUAAAAAAAGGACCCUUGCACAAUACGCGUACAUUCGCAGAGGCUAAUGAUGAAAAUUUCCCCGACCCAAGAUGUUGUGUUCAAUCGAGGGUUACAUUGCAACAGCACACAAACUUUGGGAGAAAUUAAAAAAAAACUAAAGUAUUAAUUGGAAUUAAUUGCAUUGCAAUGGAAAAGUGGAGGACCUAACUUGAAAUUAUCCCUCUCCACUGAAACAAGCGGUUCCCAGGGGUUAAGAAAACAAAAUCGGGUUGGGCAAGCCAUUUCAAGGCUACAUACACAUGCCCCAAACGGCAUCACUUCAUGCUGCCAAUUUAAGCUUCUUAAAAGCCAAAUGUUUUGGCAGAACAAAUUGAAAAAGAAAAAAAACCUAAAGGUUUGCUCCUAUUUGGCCGCCACUCAACCUUCCUUCCAACACCACGAUGCCUUUAGAUCCCCUUUCGGCUUCGAUUUCAACGAAGCGAACAGAGAUCCAUGGCUGAUUCGCAAGGUAAGGCUUGCUUUUUCCCCUCCUUUGUUUUAAAAUGAAAAUGAUGAAAACAAUUUAUGGAAAAUAGAUAAAAAUGACAGAAAGAUUAAAAAGACUAAGAAAGAUCACCUCUUCAGAAAUUGUUUUUGAAUUUUUCUAUUCAUUUUUCGUAUAAUGUAUGUGUGUAUGCGUUUUUGUGUGCGUAAAAAAAAUACAAUGACAGUGUUCUUGGCUUUAUAACCGAAACCGAGUAAAAAACGAAAAAAGAAAAUACAAAUCGAUUGGUUCUGCCUCUUUGCUGUGCUGUUGUUUGUCUAUUUCUUCGCAGGUACGGAGGCCCGUUGGCGCGGUGGUACGUGGCGUUUGACGUGAGGCGUACGGGGGCUGUGUGCUGGGGGCUGUUGAAGCGCUGGAGGUUGUACGGCGCUGGAGGCUAAGGGCUGCGGCGCUAAGGAAACCCUAGGUUCCUGUUUGGCUAAACCUAGGUCUAGGUUUUGGGCCAUUGGGCCUUUUACAUUGGGUUAUUUGAUUGGGCUAGGUUGUUUUGUAAAUGGGCUUGUAACUGGGCUAUUGGGUCUGAUAUGUAAUGGACUGAUAAUUGGACUUUUUAUUAUUUGGUUUUAUUUAUUUAUUUAUUAUUUUGGCUUUGAUGUGGACCCAGGGAAAUUGGCCCGUUUACAAAACAUAUCAAAGUUUAUAUAAACAAAUUACUAACAUGUAAAAGUUUUAUAUAAAUUUAUAAUAUUUUUGAACUAGAAAUGAUAAUUGAUAAGUGUGUAAUUUUCUAAUUAUUCGUG